Molecule: ribosomal RNA, 735 nt
Filed under: uncultured bacterium
Lineage: Bacteria
Description: bacterial SSU rRNA
Rfam family: Bacterial small subunit ribosomal RNA
Source: RNAcentral
ACGGGUGAGUAACGCGUGGGUAACCUACCCUGUACACACGGAUAACAUACCGAAAGGUAUGCUAAUACGGGAUAAUAUAUUUGAGAGGCAUCUCUUAAAUAUCAAAGGUGAGCCAGUACAGGAUGGACCCGCGUCUGAUUAGCUAGUUGGUAAGGUAACGGCUUACCAAGGCAACGAUCAGUAGCCGACCUGAGAGGGUGAUCGGCCACAUUGGAACUGAGACACGGUCCAAACUCCUACGGGAGGCAGCAGUGGGGAAUAUUGCACAAUGGGCGAAAGCCUGAUGCAGCAACGCCGCGUGAGUGAUGAAGGCCUUCGGGUCGUAAAACUCUGUCCUCAAGGAAAAUAAUGACGGUACUUGAGGAGGAAGCCCCGGCUAACUACGUGCCAGCAGCCGCGGUAAUACGUAGGGGGCUAGCGUUAUCCGGAUUUACUGGGCGUAAAGGGUGCGUAGGCGGUCUUUCAAGUCAGGAGUGAAAGGCUACGGCUCAACCGUAGUAAGCUCUUGAAACUGGGAGACUUGAGUGCAGGAGAGGAGAGUGGAAUUCCUAGUGUAGCGGUGAAAUGCGUAGAUAUUAGGAGGAACACCAGUUGCGAAGGCGGCUCUCUGGACUGUAACUGACGCUGAGGCACGAAAGCGUGGGGAGCAAACAGGAUUAGAUACCCUGGUAGUCCACGCUGUAAACGAUGAGUACUAGGUGUCGGGGGUUACCCCCUUCGGUGCCGCAGCUAACG